Unclassified non-coding RNA from Amazona collaria (yellow-billed parrot), 300 nucleotides. It matches the Rfam family "Metazoan signal recognition particle RNA". From Rfam's summary of the family: The signal recognition particle (SRP) is a universally conserved ribonucleoprotein. It is involved in the co-translational targeting of proteins to membranes. The eukaryotic SRP consists of a 300-nucleotide 7S RNA and six proteins: SRPs 72, 68, 54, 19, 14, and 9. NCBI's taxonomy places the organism in Eukaryota, Metazoa, Chordata, Aves, Psittaciformes, Psittacidae. The record is from Ensembl.
GCCGGGCGUGGUGGCGCGCGCCUGUAGUCCCAGCUACUCGGGAGGCUGAGCUCGCCGGAUCGCUUGAGCCCAGGAGUUCUGGGCUGCAGUGCGCUAUGCCGAGCGGGCGUCCGCGCUAAGGCCGGCAUCAAUAUGGUGAGCCCCGGGGAGCUGGGGCACACCAGGUUGACUAAGGAGGGGUGAACCGGCCCAGGUCGGAGACGGAGCAGGUCAAAGCUCCCGUGCCGGUCAGUAGCGGGAUCGCGCCUGUGAAUAGCCACUGCAGCGUAGCCUGGGCAACAUAGAGAGACGCGGGUUCCU